This 244-nucleotide ribosomal RNA is filed under the name uncultured Actinomycetales bacterium. RNAcentral's name for it is "partial 16S ribosomal RNA". It matches the Rfam family "Bacterial small subunit ribosomal RNA", at positions 89 to 334 of the family's 1533-position model. Lineage: Bacteria; Bacillati; Actinomycetota; Actinomycetes; Actinomycetales. The record is from RNAcentral.
GCUCGAGUGGCGAACGGGUGAGUAACACGUGAGUAACCUGCCCUUGACUUUGGGAUAACUUCAGGAAACUGGGGCUAAUACCGGAUAGGAGCUCCUGCUGCAUGGUGGGGGUUGGAAAGUUUCGGCGGUUGGGGAUGGACUCGCGGCUUAUCAGCUUGUCGGUGGGGUAGUGGCUUACCAAGGCUUUGACGGGUAGCCGGCCUGAGAGGGUGACCGGCCACAUUGGGACUGAGAUACGGCCCAG